RNAcentral lists this ribosomal RNA (524 nucleotides) under uncultured bacterium. RNAcentral's name for it is "partial 16S ribosomal RNA". It matches the Rfam family "Bacterial small subunit ribosomal RNA", at positions 28 to 523 of the family's 1533-position model. The record is from RNAcentral.
GACGAACGCUGGCGGCGUGCCUAAUACAUGCAAGUCGAACGAAGCUGUUUUAACUGGUGCUUGCACCGACUUAAACAACUGAGUGGCGAACGGGUGAGUAACACGUGGGUAACCUGCCCCAAAGCGGGGGAUAACAUUUGGAAACAGAUGCUAAUACCGCAUAACCACAGAAACCACAUGGUUUCUGUGUCAAAGAUGGUUUCGGCUAUCACUUUGGGAUGGACCCGCGGCGUAUUAGCUAGUUGGUAAGGUAAUGGCUUACCAAGGCAAUGAGACGUAGCCGAACUGCGAGGUUGAUCGGCCACAUGGGGACGGAGAAACGGCCCAAACUCCUACGGGAGGCAGCAGUAGGGAAUCUUCCACAAUGGACGAAGGUCUGAUGGAGCAACGCCGCGUGAGUGAAGAAGGUUUUCGGAUCGUAAAACUCUGUUGUCAGAGAAGAACGUGUGCGAGAGUAACUGCUCGUGCAGUGACGGUAUCUGGCCAGAAAGCCACGGCUAACUACGUGCCAGCAGCCGCCGUAA